Pelobates cultripes (western spadefoot toad) is the source of this 276-nucleotide non-coding RNA. The record is from the annotation of a GenBank genome assembly. NCBI's taxonomy places the organism in Eukaryota, Metazoa, Chordata, Amphibia, Anura, Pelobatidae.
UAGCCUUUUACUGCAGAGAACCCCAGGUGGAUUUUUUUCCCCUCAAGUAAGUGUGUUAAUCUCAUAAGAGCAGACAUUAUGCAGUUAGAGCAAGACCUGCCAAAGAUGGGGUACAAUGAUGUUAUGGCAGGCCUAUGCAAUAUAUGAUCAUAUAAUGUAACUAUGCCCCCAUUAUUUUUGCCUAGAUUAGGUGUUUUUAAAUAUAAAAAACUAAUAAUAUCUGUCAACAUUUAGUGGUAAGUGAGUGCGCUAGAUCUUGUGUAUUGUAGAAAUUGG